CACCAGAGGCCACGCCCCAAAACGGAAGUGACGGAGGGGAGCUAGCGCGUCGAAGAUAGCUCUAUGGUUUUCCUCCCGUUCUUCAGUCGGGAAAUGGCCGCUGUGUAGUUACAACGAAGAUAAGUCCCGGGAACCUUGCUUCGGCGUGUCAGGAAUUUGAAUUUAGAGUUUACUGUCUGAGAACAUAUUCUCCAGGAAGAAUUUUACAGUAUCUCGAAGACUUCACUUGAUUGCUCUAUCCUGCAUAAAAUCCAAGGAGUAAAGAAAUGGGUCGCUCCAAUUCUAGAUCACAUUCUUCAAGAUCAAAGUCUAGAUCACAGUCUAGUUCUCGAUCAAGAUCAAGGUCACACUCUAGAAAGAAGAGAUACAGUUCUAGGUCUCGUUCCAGGACGUAUUCAAGAUCUCGUAGUAGAGAUCGUAUUUAUUCUAGAGAUUAUCGUCGAGAUUACAGAAAUAAUAGAGGAAUGAGACGACCUUAUGGGUACAGAGGAAGGGGUAGAGGGUAUUAUCAAGGUGGAGGAGGUAGAUAUCAUCGAGGUGGCUAUAGACCUGUCUGGAACAGAAGACACUCUAGGAGUCCUAGACGAGGUCGUUCACGUUCCAGAAGUCCAAAAAGAAGAUCCGUUUCUUCUCAAAGAUCCCGAAGCAGAUCUCGCCGGUCAUACAGAUCCUCUAGGUCUCCAAGAUCAUCCUCUUCUCGUUCUUCAUCCCCAUAUAGCAAAUCUCCUGUCUCUAAAAGACGAGGGUCUCAGGAAAAACAAACCAAAAAAUCUGAAGGGGAGCCCCAAGAAGAGAGUCCUUUGAAAAAUAAAUCACAGGAGGAACCGAAAGAUACAUUUGAACAUGACCCAUCUGAAUCUAUUGAUGAGUUUAAUAAGUCAUCAGCCACAUCUGGUGAUAUUUGGCCUGGCCUUUCAGCUUAUGAUAAUAGUCCUAGAUCACCCCAUAGUCCUUCACCAAUUGCUACGCCACCUAGUCAGAGUUCAUCUUGCUCUGAUGCGCCCAUGCUCAGUACAGUCCACUCUGCAAAAAACACCCCCUCUCAGCAUUCACAUUCCAUUCAGCAUAGUCCUGAAAGAUCUGGGUCUGGUUCUGUUGGAAAUGGAUCUAGUCGAUACAGUCCUUCUCAGAAUAGUCCAAUUCAUCACAUCCCUUCACGAAGAAGCCCUGCAAAGACAAUCACACCACAGAAUGCGCCAAGAGAUGAGGCUAGGGGACGUUCUUCAUUUUAUCCUGACGGUGGAGAUCAGGAAACUGCAAAGACAGGAAAAUUCUUAAAAAGGUUCACAGAUGAAGAGUCUAGAGUAUUCCUGCUUGAUAGGGGUAAUACCAGGGACAAAGAGGCUCCAAAAGAGAAAGGAUCAGAGAAAGGGAGGGCAGAGGGAGAAUGGGAAGAUCAGGAAGCCCUAGAUUACUUCAGUGAUAAAGAGUCUGGAAAACAAAAGUUUAAUGAUUCAGAAGGGGAUGACACAGAGGAGACAGAAGAUUAUAGACAGUUCAGGAAGUCAGUCCUUGCAGAUCAGGGUAAAAGUUUUGCUACUACAUCUCACCGGAAUACUGAGGAGGAAGGAAACAAGUACAAGUCCAAAGUUUCACUGAAAGGCAAUAGAGAAAGUGAUGGAUUUAGAGAAGAAAAAAAUUAUAAACUUAAAGAGACUGGAUAUGUAGUGGAAAGGCCUAGCACUACAAAAGAUAAGCACAAGGAAGACGACAAAAAUUCUGAGAGAAUAACAGUAAAGAAAGAAACUCAGUCACCUGAGCAGGUAAAGUCUGAAAAGCUCAAAGACCUCUUUGAUUACAGUCCCCCUCUACAUAAGAAUCUGGAUGCACGAGAAAAGUCUACCUUCAGAGAGGAGAGCCCACUUAGGAUUAAAAUGAUAGCCAGCGAUUCUCAUCGUCCUGAAGUCAAACUCAAAAUGGCCCCUGUUCCUCUUGAUGAUUCUAACAGACCUGCUUCCUUGACUAAAGACAGGCUACUUGCUAGUACACUUGUCCAUUCUGUCAAGAAGGAGCAAGAAUUCCGAUCCAUCUUUGACCACAUUAAGUUGCCUCAGGCCAGCAAGAGCACUUCAGAGUCAUUUAUUCAGCACAUUGUGUCCUUGGUUCAUCACGUUAAAGAGCAAUACUUCAAAUCACCUGCGAUGACCCUAAAUGAAAGGUUCACUUCCUAUCAGAAAGCCACUGAAGAACAUAGUACCCGCCAAAAGAGCCCUGAGAUACACAGGAGAAUUGACAUCUCUCCAAGUGCCCUGAGGAAGCAUACCCGAUUAGCAGGGGAAGAGAGAGUUUUCAAAGAAGAAAUUCAAAAGGGAGAUAAAAAAUUAAGGUGUGACUCUGCUGAUCUUCGGCAUGACAUUGAUCGUCGGAGAAAAGAAAGAAGCAAAGAACGGGGGGAUUCCAAGGGCUCCAGGGAAUCCAGUGGGUCAAGAAAGCAGGAAAAAACUCCAAAAGAUUACAAGGAAUACAAAUCUUACAAAGAUGACAGCAAAAAUGUAUUUGUCUUUUACUCGGCUUAUGGUGGAUGAGGACAAAAACUUUGGAAUAGCAAGCUAACACUGAAAAAAAAAAAUGACAAAUUAAUGUGUCCUAUUAUCCAGGCUACAUCAGGAGGUUGGACUUCAAUGCAGUGCAUUUCUAGAAACAGUUUGUUAAACAUAAAAGUAGAGAGCAAGAUCAUUCUCGAUCUUCAUCCUCUUCAGCAUCACCUUCUUCUCCCAGUUCUAGAGAAGAAAAGGAGAGUAAGAAGGAAAGAGAAGAAGAAUUUAAAACUCAUCAUGAACUAAAAGAAUACUCGGGCUUUGCAGGAGUUAGUCGACCACGAGGAACCUUUUUUCGAAUUAGAGGCAGAGGAAGAGCCAGAGGAGUUUUUGCUGGGACAAAUACUGGUCCAAACAACUCAAAUACUACUUUUCAAAAGAGACCGAAGGAAGAGGAAUGGGAUCCAGAAUAUACCCCAAAGAGCAAGAAGUACUUCUUGCAUGAUGACAGAGACGAUGGUGUGGAUUAUUGGGCCAAAAGAGGAAGAGGUCGUGGUACUUUUCAACGUGGCAGAGGGCGCUUUAACUUCAAAAAGUCAGGGAGCAGUCCAAAAUGGACUCAUGACAAAUACCAAGGGGACGGGAUUGUUGAAGAUGAAGAAGAGACCAUGGAAAAUAAUGAAGAAAAGAAGGACAGGCGUAAAGAAGAAAAGGAAUAAUAAACCUGACAUGAGAUUGCAACAAAGAGCAGAACUUGCACCCACUUUUUUUUUUUACCUGAUUUUUGUUUUCAAAUAAGAAUGUAAGCAUUUUACUUAAAUUUUACUGUUUGCAAGUAGUCUAUAGAAGUUUUGUUUUAAGUCUUCAAAUAUCUUGAAAAAAUAGUAGAUUGUAUGUUGAAAAUUGUACUGAAAUAAAGUAGAAAAUUGUUAAUGUACCCUAUUUGUAACUAUCAACUUUUAAAAAUAAUACUUUUACUGUUUUUGUUACAUGCAUUGUAAUUCUGCUUUGUCUAUAAGAUAUGGUCAAGUACAGCUCUGUGAAAGAUCUGAUUCUCUUCCCUCCCUGUUCGUUAAUGUUUAUGCUGAAGUAAACGUUAGCUCUACAUACAGAUUUCUGAAAAGAAGUUGUUUAUAGAGAUCACACCUAGUUAUUUUAACUCUAUAUAUCUGUUUUAACAUUUUCCUUAAUUCAAACACACUACAUUGUAGGGUGACUAAUUUUUGAAGUGUACCCCAGAAAAAGUUGUUACUUUGGUAAACGUAAGCUAGUUUAAUACUUCAGCAAAUGUUUAAGAAAAACAGCUUUGCCAAGAACUAAGAAAUACAAGCUCAUAAAAGUUAGAUUACAAAGUAUUAGUUUGUUUUGUUGUUUGUUUUUGUUUUGUUUUGUUUGUUUGUUUUUAUUUUGUUUGUUUUUUUUUUUACUGAGAGCAAGCAGUGGCCUAUAAAAACCACACUUAGGAGCCUUUACUAUUUGGAUUCAAAAUUCAGUGUUCUAUUUUUAUUUGAAAGUAUGAGUCAUGGUCUUAGAUAGCAGCUAUUCUAUGAGAGAGGAAACUGGUUUGUAAUAAACAGCAAAUAAAAACCCUAUUCCUACCGAACAUUUUAUUUUUAACACAACAAGACCUGUAAUCGUGAUGUGGUAUGGAAGAGGAUUAUCCUGCAAAAUAAAGAUGUGUCUGAUUUGAUAUCUUACAUAUUUAUUUGAUCUUUUGGACAGUUGAAAUAUUAGUUUGUAGUCUGACCAUAAAAAAUUGGCAAACAACAUACUGUUCAUUAGUUGUAUUUUAAGUAACUUGUUUUUCAAAUGUCAACAAUAAACGUUUUGACAGGAA
RNA transcript from Myotis davidii, 4314 nucleotides. It is a transcript of the gene named BCL2 associated transcription factor 1, with no coding region annotated. Lineage: Eukaryota; Metazoa; Chordata; Mammalia; Chiroptera; Vespertilionidae. The transcript has 14 exons. The record is from RefSeq and is a predicted model, not a curated record.